AGCGAACGUUAGCGGCGGGCCUAACACAUGCAAGUCGAACGCGAAAGGUCUUCGGACUGAGUAGAGUGGCGCACGGGUGAGUAACACGUAGGUAAUCUACCCUUUGGCGGGGGAUAACGUUCCGAAAGGAGCGCUAAUACCGCAUAAGGCCACGGAGUCUCCGGACGCUGUGGGAAAAGGUGGCCUCUUCUUGAAAGCUAUCACCGAAGGAUGAGCCUGCGUCCCAUCAGCUAGUUGGUAAGGUAAUGGCUUACCAAGGCGAAGACGGGUAGCUGGUUUGAGAGAAUGAUCAGCCACACUGGCACUGGAACACGGGCCAGACUCCUACGGGAGGCAGCAGUGAGGAAUAUUGGGCAAUGGGCGAAAGCCUGACCCAGCCACGCCGCGUGAGUGAUGAAGGCCCUCGGGUCGUAAAGCUCUGUGGAGAGGGACGAAAACCCUGGUUUCAAAUAGGCUCCAGGCUUGACGGUACCUCUUUAGCAAGCACCGGCUAACUCUGUGCCAG
Molecule: ribosomal RNA, 505 nt
Filed under: uncultured bacterium
Lineage: Bacteria
Description: bacterial SSU rRNA
Rfam family: Bacterial small subunit ribosomal RNA
Source: RNAcentral